RNAcentral lists this long non-coding RNA (258 nucleotides) under Vitis vinifera (wine grape). RNAcentral describes it as "long non-coding RNA (VVIN_LNC000780)". The record is from RNAcentral. Lineage: Eukaryota; Viridiplantae; Streptophyta; Magnoliopsida; Vitales; Vitaceae.
CAUAAUUUUUAGUCUACUCUGUUUCAUUGUAAAAAAAAAAACGAAAUCUUUAUUUUUUUUCAACUUUCCCACACUUUCUCGGUGGCCAAACACAACCACACCACCAAAAAUAACCACAAAACUUACAGAAAAAACCAGAGGCAAUGGUCUCUCAGAUCUCCACUUCAGUUCCUUCCUAUUGGUGUUGAGGUAAGGAUCUCCCCUCCCUAAUCGGCGUGCCGGAAAAUGAGUUUGGGGCAGAGGGCAAAAUGAUUUUUG